CAGCUCCAUUUUUCGGGCUGAACGGAUCCUGCCUUCCUGGGAGCCACUGGGAUCUUAAAGUGUCUUUUUAGGUACCAGGUCCAUUUAUGUCAUACUAGGAAGAGGAGUCAAGCGGCAGUCUUUAGCUGAACUCGGCAGUUUCCACUUUCCAUUAGUUUAGCGAGGUGACCCAUCGAUAUAAAAAGAAUAUAAACUUAAUAUUUUUUCCUUGUUUAUUCAUAACUUUUCUCCUGUUAGAAGGGGGUUUUGGUGGGAUCCUUAAUUCUAAGGAUUAAGCACUAUCCAUAUGAGUAACUCGGAUUGCCUAUGUUUUCACCCCUCUCGGGGCCUCCCAAACUCGUUACUUACUGGUAAUCACAGAGGCCUCUCUUAUCUGCAGUUGCUCGGGAAUGGUACUUACUGCCCUGGAAGUUGGCGUUUAGAGGCUGGUGAUGCAGGCAUGUAGCGAAGACGAGUUUAUUUAGAUCGGGGUACCCUGGGAGACUGGAUGAGUUUCCAAGAGAGGAAUCGCGCAGUCAAGAGCAGCACAUGGCCUUAGCUAAAAGCCAAGAAGAUGCUGGUGCCAUGUUCUUGACCCCUAGAAUUGUGAGCUACAUAAACGUCUUCUUUGUAAAUUUCUCAGUCUGACACAGCAACAGAAAAUAGACUACAUGAGGAACUGUCCCUCCAGACUCCAGAGGCAGUGUCAGGAUGAAGGAACAGGCUGUCCCUGUAGAAGAGGGCAGAAGCGACACAAGGCCAAGAAGACCCAAAAGACCCUCUCAAGCACAUGUAAAGCCUCUGGUCUGACAUGACAGAGGUAAUAGCCACUCACAUUCCACUGACCAAAGUGCGUCAUAUGGCUGUGCUCAUUGUUAGUGAAGCAGGGCAGGGCCAUAUACUCGCCCAAGAAGGAGGUGCUGAAAAGUCUCAUGGCAAAGACUUAGAUAUAUGAAAAUAUUACAGGGUGGAAAUGAAGAAAAGAUGACAAUAAACCAAUGUAACAUUUACCAUCCAUUGAGUACCCACUAGGUACUUAAAAUAUGUUAUAUCAUUUAAUCCUCACAACAAUUAUAGGGACAGAUAUUAUUAAUAUUUUUUAUAUGAAUAAGUGUUUGCCUGUUGUGUGCCCCUUGGGCUAUGCACUGUGACAAUCAUGUAAAAUAGUGCUGAUAUUCAGUCAGCUAGAGGAUAGGCGAGAUAACUGGAAGGCUGUUCGACAUCAAGAGAGAGUUGGAUUAAUUUCUUCUUUUUUUUUUGGUACCGGAGAUCGAACUCAGGACCUUCCGCCUGCGAGGCAGGCGGUGGAACCACUGAGCUAAAUCUCCGGCCCCAGUUGAACUAAUUUUUUAUACUUGGAUUAACAAUGAUGCACAAAUGAACCAAGGAUAGCCAAUAAAAAAGAGAGCCUGAUUUAAGUACAGAGAGGUCUUUGUGGGGGCGCCAUUUCUUUCUCUCCAGCCCAUCAUCACCUGUUGGCCUUACUCUUCAGAAUUACUCCCUAUGUGACAUUUAUUUUUUUUAAUAGGGUCUUGAUGGUAACUGGUUCCACUCCCUCCCUUAUUGCCCAAACCAGUAUUGAACUCUUGGGCUCAAGUGAUGUUCCUGCCUCACCCUCCUGAGCAACUAGGGCUACAGCUCUGUGCCACCACACACAGCAAUAUGGCACUAUUGAAUACUGUCCCUUCUCUUCUCCAAACACAACACAAACGCAGUGGAAGCUUCACAGAUAUCAACUGAAUAUUUAUUAGUUUGAUGUCAGGAGCAAUGCUACAUAAUUUUAGGGAAAAAUCAUUUGAUUAGGCCUAGUUCUCCUGCCUGCAGGCCAGCUAUGCAUUUUGAGACAAUUCCAUUUUGGGCUCCGGUCACAACUGAGACCUCAAUGAUCCGGUGAUGCUGUGAUGCUCCAGGACAAGAUUACACCAGCUGAAGACAU
Molecule: non-coding RNA, 1915 nt
Organism: Heterocephalus glaber (naked mole-rat)
Lineage: Eukaryota; Metazoa; Chordata; Mammalia; Rodentia; Bathyergidae
Source: RefSeq, a predicted model, not a curated record